UUGAACGCUGGCGGCAGGCCUAACACAUGCAGGUCGAGCGGAUGAAGGGAGCUUGCUCCUGGAUUCAGCGGCGGACGGGUGAGUAAUGCCUAGGAAUCUGCCUGGUAGUGGGGGAUAACGUCCGGAAACGGGCGCUAAUACCGCAUACGUCCUGAGGGAGAAAGUGGGGGAUCUUCGGACCUCACGCUAUCAGAUGAGCCUAGGUCGGAUUAGCUAGUUGGUGGGGUAAAGGCCUACCAAGGCGACGAUCCGUAACUGGUCUGAGAGGAUGAUCAGUCACACUGGAACUGAGACACGGUCCAGACUCCUACGGGAGGCAGCAGUGGGGAAUAUUGGACAAUGGGCGAAGGCCUGAUCCAGCCAUGCCGCGUGUGUGAAGAAGGUCUUCGGAUUGUAAAGCACUUUAAGUUGGGAGGAAGGGCAGUAAGUUAAUACCUUGCUGUUUUGACGUUACCAACAGAAUAAGCACCGGCUAACUUCGUG
RNAcentral lists this ribosomal RNA (483 nucleotides) under uncultured bacterium. Its description in RNAcentral is "partial 16S ribosomal RNA". It matches the Rfam family "Bacterial small subunit ribosomal RNA", at positions 30 to 507 of the family's 1533-position model. The record is from RNAcentral.